GACGCCGUGGCCGAGUGGUAACGCUCACGACUUUGAUUCGUCAGACCGUGGGUUCGAGGCUCUUCACGGUCUGACGUUA
Non-coding RNA from Halocaridina rubra (Hawaiian volcano shrimp), 79 nucleotides. NCBI's taxonomy places the organism in Eukaryota, Metazoa, Arthropoda, Malacostraca, Decapoda, Atyidae. The record is from the annotation of a GenBank genome assembly.